This 324-nucleotide ribosomal RNA is filed under the name uncultured bacterium. RNAcentral describes it as "bacterial SSU rRNA". It matches the Rfam family "Bacterial small subunit ribosomal RNA", at positions 28 to 335 of the family's 1533-position model. The record is from RNAcentral.
GAUGAACGCUGGCGGCGUGCCUAACACAUGCAAGUCGAACGGGGUUAUUUUGGAAAGUCCUUCGGGACUGGAAUCUAUAACCUAGUGGCGGACGGGUGAGUAACGCGUGAGCAAUCUGCCUUUAGGAGGGGGAUAACAGUCGGAAACGGCUGCUAAUACCGCAUACACUUAGUUAUCCGCAUGGAUGAUUAAGGAAAGAUUUAUUGCUAAGAGAUAGGCAUGCAUUCCAUUAGUUAGUUGGUGAGGUAACGGCUCACCAAGGCAUCGAUGGGUAGGGGGCUGAGAGGCUUACUCCCCCACAUUGGAACUGAGACACGGACCCAA